GGACGAACGCUGGCGGCGUGCUUAACACAUGCAAGUCGAACGGAAAGGCCCUGCUUGCAGGGUACUCGAGUGGCGAACGGGUGAGUAACACGUGGGUGAUCUGCCCUGCACUUCGGGAUAAGCCUGGGAAACUGGGUCUAAUACCGGAUAGGCGCCAUUUUUAGUGUGAUGGUUGGAAAGUUUUUUCGGUGUAGGAUGAGCUCGCGGCCUAUCAGCUUGUUGGUGGGGUAAUGGCCUACCAAGGCGGCGACGGGUAGCCGGCCUGAGAGGGUGGACGGCCACAUUGGGACUGAGAUGCGGCCCAGACUCCGACGGGAGGCAGCAGUGGGGAAUAUUGGUCAAUGGGCGCAAGCCUGAUGCAGCGACGCCGCGUGGGGGAUGACGGCCUUCGGGUUGUAAACUCCUUUCGCUAGGGACGAAGCUUUUUGUGACGGUACCUAGAUAAGAAGCACCGGCUAACUACGUG
RNAcentral lists this ribosomal RNA (466 nucleotides) under uncultured bacterium. RNAcentral's name for it is "partial 16S ribosomal RNA". It matches the Rfam family "Bacterial small subunit ribosomal RNA", at positions 27 to 507 of the family's 1533-position model. The record is from RNAcentral.